RNAcentral lists this ribosomal RNA (1347 nucleotides) under uncultured bacterium. Its description in RNAcentral is "partial 16S ribosomal RNA". It matches the Rfam family "Bacterial small subunit ribosomal RNA", at positions 28 to 1381 of the family's 1533-position model. The record is from RNAcentral.
GACGAACGCUGGCGGCGUGCUUAACACAUGCAAGUCGAACGGAAAGGCCCUGCUUUUGUGGGGUGCUCGAGUGGCGAACGGGUGAGUAACACGUGAGUAACCUGCCCUUGACUUUGGGAUAACUUCAGGAAACUGGGGCUAAUACCGGAUAGGAGCUCCUGCUGCAUGGUGGGGGUUGGAAAGUUUCGGCGGUUGGGGAUGGACUCGCGGCUUAUCAGCUUGUUGGUGGGGUAGUGGCUUACCAAGGCUUUGACGGGUAGCCGGCCUGAGAGGGUGACCGGCCACAUUGGGACUGAGAUACGGCCCAGACUCCUACGGGAGGCAGCAGUGGGGAAUAUUGCACAAUGGGCGGAAGCCUGAUGCAGCAACGCCGCGUGCGGGAUGACGGCCUUCGGGUUGUAAACCGCUUUCGCCUGUGACGAAGCGUGAGUGACGGUAAUGGGUAAAGAAGCACCGGCUAACUACGUGCCAGCAGCCGCGGUGAUACGUAGGGUGCGAGCGUUGUCCGGAUUUAUUGGGCGUAAAGGGCUCGUAGGUGGUUGAUCGCGUCGGAAGUGUAAUCUUGGGGCUUAACCCCUGAGCGUGCUUUCGAUACGGGUUGACUUGAGGAAGGUAGGGGAGAAUGGAAUUCCUGGUGGAGCGGUGGAAUGCGCAGAUAUCAGGAGGAACACCAGUGGCGAAGGCGGUUCUCUGGGCCUUUCCUGACGCUGAGGAGCGAAAGCGUGGGGAGCGAACAGGCUUAGAUACCCUGGUAGUCCACGCUGUAAACGGUGGGUACUAGGUGUGGGGUCCAUUCCACGGGUUCCGUGCCGUAGCUAACGCUUUAAGUACCCCGCCUGGGGAGUACGGCCGCAAGGCUAAAACUCAAAGGAAUUGACGGGGCCCCGCACAAGCGGCGGAGCAUGCGGAUUAAUUCGAUGCAACGCGUAGAACCUUACCUGGGUUUGACAUGGAUCGGGAGUGCUCAGAGAUGGGUGUGCCUCCUUUGGGGUCGGUUCACAGGUGGUGCAUGGCUGUCGUCAGCCCGUGUCGUGAGAUGUUGGGUUAAGUCCCGCAACGAGCGCAACCCUUGUUCACUGUUGCCAGCACGUUAUGGUGGGGACUCAGUGGAGACCGCCGGGGUCAACUCGGAGGAAGGUGGGGAUGACGUCAAGUCAUCAUGCCCCUUAUGUCCAGGGCUUCACGCAUGCUACAAUGGCUGGUACAGAGAGUGGCGAGCCUGUGAGGGUGAGCGAAUCUCGGAAAGCCGGUCUCAGUUCGGAUUGGGGUCUGCAACUCGACCUCAUGAAGUCGGAGUCGCUAGUAAUCGCAGAUCAGCAACGCUGCGGUGAAUACGUUCCCGGGGCU